Carica papaya (papaya) is the source of this 1737-nucleotide long non-coding RNA. RefSeq lists it as uncharacterized. Lineage: Eukaryota; Viridiplantae; Streptophyta; Magnoliopsida; Brassicales; Caricaceae. The record is from RefSeq and is a predicted model, not a curated record.
GAGAAGAAGAAGAAAGUUAUUACUCGUUGGAUUCUGGGAAAGUGAUUGGUUGUGCUUAAAGGAUUACUCCGGUCCUCAGCUGCAGCCUUCAUUCCCUCCAGUAUAGCCUGUCGCUGAACGAUAAAGAGAUCGGUGCCAGUCACAUGAUCCAACUUUAAAAAACUAAUGAAAGAACAGAUGAACUUAUACUCAUAAAACAUAUAGCUUGCAUAAGGAGACUUCAGGAGUUACCAUCUCUAGACUCAUAUGAGCAAGAAAUCCGAAGUUCCUCAGUCUAGAUGAUGCUGCAGGAACCCGGCUAGAAAUGUGACUCCUACAUUGUCUCAUUUCACGGGAGUAGAAAGCUUGAAGAAUGUGUUUGGAGCUGUCUGAGUGAAUAAGUUAUUGAAGAACUUUUCUACUUGGAAAGUACAACAAGUUAUCACUAAAGGAACAACUUCCUACAGUAUUAAAAAAGUUUUUGGAACUUCUACAAUGGAUAUCUAAAAGCAUUGAAAUAAUACCAAGAAGAUAGCGUAAUAAAUUUCUUUGCACUAACAUAAGUCAUCCUAAACUAACUAAAUUAGUAUAUAUGCUUUAGAAAGAAAACUUUCAUCGGGUGAAGAAUCGUCAAUUUCAAAAACUAACUAGGCAUGAUUUGAUUAUUCUAGAUUUUAGAUGAUGUUGAACUAAAAGAUUCCCCAAAAGAACCAAGAAAGACAAUUUCUGGUUCUCCAUAAACAUUUCUAGAGCAAGCACCAUGAUUCUUUGAGUUGAAAAUUAUUUCAAUUAUAUUCAAGUCAAAAUCAAAAUUAGACAAUUGAAUCUAUUCAAAUCACCCAAUUCCCAAUCGACUGGCUCAAAAAGAAAGCAGGUUUUACGAAACAGGUUUGAGAAUUUCUAAAAGAAGAGAAAGAAAAAUGGGGUAAAGGUGGGUUCCCUUUCUUCCCAAGAAAACCUUUCUUCACCUGCCCCUUGUUUCAUUGUGGAAAAUGAAAGAACGCAAACUAAUCUCUUCUUUCUGACGAUGAAGGAAGAUGGAACCAAAGUUAAAAAUAUUCGUUGAAGCGGGAACGUUUUAUAAAGGCUAUUUGGAGGGCCCUGUGUGGGUUGGGUCCGAAGAAAAAGAAGAGAGAGAAAGACUCGGGCUGGGCUAUUUUCCGGCCUGGUUUGGUUCAUUUCUGGGCCUGACCGGGGAAGAGCAAAACUAAAACAAAAGAAAGAAAAGGGAUGGGGCUAAUUGUGUUUUCAGGUUUUGGCUAAUUUAGUUUUUAGAAUUUGGAAUAAUUUGGGUUUGAACAAAACUAAAAUAUAGAUCUAUAGAACAGUAGAAUAUUUAUUUAUCUAAUUAUAAUUGUAUAGUAUAAUUAUAUAUGCAUGUAUAUAUAUAUAUAUAUAUUGAAAGUUUUCUCAAAAAAUUUUAGGAAGGUUGAAGAGGCUAUCUUAGUUAAGGAAAGGAAAAGAGUAACCUAGGUUUGAGACACUUGUGCGAGCUGAGAUGGAGAAGGUUAGGUUCUGAUUAAAAAGAAGAGAUGAGGGUUUGUUUCUAGCUUCCAUAGAGGGAGGAAAUGAAGAUUAAGAAGGGAAUUCGAUGAGUAACAAUUCCAAAGACAAUUAGUGAAGAAGGAAAUUGAAUGAAAGAUUGCCCAAAAAAUAGGAUGUUGCAUUGUUUGUAGGGGCACAUGAUGUUGUUAGAGGCAGGACUCCUUCAAGCAGAAGUUUGACACUCUUAACCAAUCCGAUGAUAGUUCAGGAAAA